GAUGAACGCUAGCUACAGGCUUAACACAUGCAAGUCGAGGGGAAACGGCAUUGAGUGCUUGCACUCUUUGGACGUCGACCGGCGCACGGGUGAGUAACGCGUAUCCAACCUACCCAUUACUGUGGGAUAACCUGCCGAAAGGCAGACUAAUACCGCAUAGUCUUCGAUGACGGCAUCAGAUUUGAAGUAAAGAUUUAUCGGUAAUGGAUGGGGAUGCGUCUGAUUAGCUUGUUGGCGGGGUAACGGCCCACCAAGGCAACGAUCAGUAGGGGUUCUGAGAGGAAGGCCCCCCACAUUGGAACUGAGACACGGUCCAAACUCCUACGGGAGGCAGCAGUGAGGAAUAUUGGUCGAUGGGCGCGAGCCUGAACCAGCCAAGUAGCGUGCAGGAUGACGGCCCUAUGGGUUGUAAACUGCUUUUGUAUGGGGAUAAAGUUAGGGACGUGUCCCUAUUUGCAGGUACCAUACGAAUAAGGACCGGCUAAUUCCGUGCCAGCAGCCGCGGUAAUACGGAAGGUCCAGGCGUUAUCCGGAUUUAUUGGGUUUAAAGGGAGCGUAGGCUGGAGAUUAAGUGUGUUGUGAAAUGUAGACGCUCAACGUCUGACUUGCAGCGCAUACUGGUUUCCUUGAGUACGCACAACGUUGGCGGAAUUCGUCGUGUAGCGGUGAAAUGCUUAGAUAUGACGAAGAACUCCGAUUGCGAAGGCAGCUGACGGGAGCGCAACUGACGCUUAAGCUCGAAGGUGCGGGUAUCAAACAGG
Molecule: ribosomal RNA, 761 nt
Filed under: Prevotella melaninogenica
Lineage: Bacteria; Pseudomonadati; Bacteroidota; Bacteroidia; Bacteroidales; Prevotellaceae
Description: bacterial SSU rRNA
Rfam family: Bacterial small subunit ribosomal RNA
Source: RNAcentral